This is an RNA transcript of Cynara cardunculus var. scolymus (artichoke), 2903 nucleotides long. RefSeq lists it as uncharacterized. The record is from RefSeq and is a predicted model, not a curated record. The transcript is spliced from 9 exons. Lineage: Eukaryota; Viridiplantae; Streptophyta; Magnoliopsida; Asterales; Asteraceae.
AAAUAAAGAAACCUUGUUUUCUCGGCUCAUCUUCUAGCAUUGAAGCGCAUGUUGAUGUGGGGCUCAUCAUUCUGUUUGAUACCCUAGGGUUCUUUCUUCAAUCUCUUGAUGGAAACAACAACUUCUUCAGAGGAGGUUUUGGUAUGCCAAACAUGUGGUGACGGAGGAUACACCAAUGCUUUUGUUUAUUGUGUUAAGUGCUUGGGAUUUGUUGUUCACAGGUACUGCCUAGAUGUAAUACCAAGGACACCUGAUGAGUUUGUCCCUUGGUUUUGUGAAGAUUGCAAGCCAGCAGUUCCAUAUCAGUUCGCUUUACCGAAACUUGAGCCUUCACGGUCUCAGAAAGAGUAUGCCACAAGUUCAGCAAAUGUAAAAAGAACUCAUGGUAAGAAGAAGCAAACGAAGAAAAGGAAAAUGGCUCCUUUAGUAGCAGGGAAAGAUGUGGUCAGUUGUCAAGAGGAGGCCAUAAAGCCUGACCGCCAGUGUGUUUCACCAGCAAAUUCUCCGGUAAAAGAAGCAUCAGUGAAGUCAGAUUCAGGAUGCAAUCAAAUCAUUCCAUGUGUGGUUUCUCGGUUAGAAAAGGAUGUUCUCCAGAAGCAGGCUUCAGAGUCUUCUGAGUUGGACAACAACCGUUCUCCACCGAAAACCAGUGCAGAAACGAAAAUAAAUGUAACUUCACCAGUGCAGUCAGAUUCAGGACACAAUCAAACCACUUUGUGUGUGGUUUCUCGGUUGGAAAAGGGAGAAUUUCAGAAGCAGGCUUCAGAGUCUGCUCAUUUGGACAAAGGAAGUUCAAAAAGGAAAGGGCAUGCAACUCCCUUGGCUGUGAAAGCAAAGGAGCAUAAAACUCGAAAGACAGUGCAUUCAGUCGAGCCUUCUGUGUGUGAUUCCAGUUGUACAAAUCUAACUUUAAAGGAUAAUGAGGACAUGAUUCGCUCUGUAGAGGAGCAGAGAUGUGAAAUUCAACAGUCCCAGACUGAUCAUGACAAGUUAGUUUCUGAAUCUUCAUCCAUUGAGUUAACCAAGAAGACUAAGGACUAUGAUGGCCAAAAUGAAACAGUAAACCAGACGGAAUACAAACAAGAAAUGAGUGCAAGCAAAGCUUAUGCUGAUACUUAUACGUCAACGCUUAUUGAAAAUAAUGAACAAUACAUCCAUUAUCCACCUGCAAGACCGGUCUUGGAUCCAGUAUGGAGGGGAAGCUUUAAUAUUACUGAAACCGAUUAUGAUCUAUUUGAAGGAUUUGUUGGCCAUUUAUCAACUAAAGCUUGUUACAAGGUGCGUGAGGAGGCUACUAUGCUUCCUUCAUUGCUUUGCUUGGAAAUGCAACCAAAGAUGGCUCUAUGGCCGAAGAGCUUCUUGGAGUCCCAGCCAUCUGAUGAACAUAUUGCUCUGUACUUUUUUCCAGGCGACACAAAAAAUGAAAGGGUUUUUGAGCGCUUGGUCAUUGACAUGAUAGAUGAAGAGCUCGCAAUGAGAGCCACAGCCAAAAAUGCGGAGCUAUUGAUAUUCACUUCUACCGUUCUGCCUCAGUCACACUGGAGAUUCCAAGGGAAUUAUUAUCUCUGGGGAGUUUUCAGAGCCAAAUUAAAGGAUUCUUCAUCACAUGUGAAUCAAGAUCUUGCAGUCUCAAAUAACAGUGUUGACCAUGACCUGUCUGAAAAUUCUCUGAACGAAGUAACAAGUGGAGAGAAAAACCAGGCAAGCGUGAAACUUUUUGAUUCUCGGAGUCCUCAAAGUCCUUUGUGCAAUUACAGAUUACCAAUGGCUCAAAACAACAUUGUAAAACAAAACACCUUACGAUCUAUCAUUGAGAAGCAAAAACUCAACAAGAUGAAUUUCAUUGAUUGGUAUCGUGCUUUGAGGAUUGUACUUAGAGCGGAAAAGAAGCUUUAUGUUCUAGUGCAACCUAUUCCCGAAGAGCCCAAUAUUGAUGCUCCAAGUAUCGAAAGGGAUGCUUUCAAAAAGCAUUUAGAGGAUGCAUGUGAGGUCUCAUGCCUAAUGUUAAUAUCCAUGGAACCCGAGCUUCAGAAGCAACAUGAGAACAUGUUGCCAUUCGCUAUGAUCGAACACCUUAAGUUGUUAUUUCAAGAACACAUUAGACAUGAGAGGUACGAGAUAUCAAAAAGAUUGUUAGGUUGUAAGUUAGCUGAGGGAACUCCUGUUGUACCUCAUGUACUUAAGAUGAUUGGGUACAUUGAGCAACUCAAGGGGCUAGGGUUUCCUUUACGAAACGAAUUAGCCUCGGAUUUCGUUUUGCAAUCAUUGCCAAACAGCUACAAUCAGUUCGUUAUGAACUAUAAAAUGCAAGAUCUCGAGAGCUCCCUUUCUGAAUUGCUCGACAUGUUACGAACAGUUGAACAAAAGCUUUCAAGAAGUAAGUUGACCAUUCCAAUGGUUCGUUCGGACAACCAGAUGAAAGACAAAGGAAAGUCUAUUGCCAAGUCUGCUUCUAGAGCUUUAAGGCCUAAAGGAGCUAUAAAAAAGAAACCCAAGGGUAACAUAACCAAGGAAGGCGAGUGUUUUCACUGUAACAAGCAAGGGCAUUGGAAGAGAAACUGCCCUCUUUAUCUCGAGGAAAAGAAGAAGGGAAGUAUGACUUCUACUCCAGGAACUAAAAGAUAACCAAGAGGUUGAGCAAAUGUGAUGUUGAUAUGUGUGUGAGAAAUGGAGCAAGAGUUGAUGUGGCAAGAUGACAAAGACUCAUUUGGUUGGACAAAGUGAGAGAGCAAGUGACGUCUCAAACACAAUGAUGUAUAGGAGUCAUUGAACAUACAAGGUAAAGGUGGUUAUAGAUAUUUCAUUACAUUUACCAACGAUAUCAGUAGAUUUUAUUACAUUUACUUAUGUCAUAUAUAGAACAACAAAGCAUUUGUUAGUAUCAUCGUUUUUUUUGGAAAAAG